UGUUUCGGCAAGGGGGUCAUCCCGACUUACCAACCCGAUGCAAACUGCGAAUACCGGAGAAUGUUAUCACGGGAGACACACGGCGGGUGCUAACGUCCGUCGUGAAGAGGGAAACAACCCAGACCGCCAGCUAAGGUCCCAAAGUCAUGGUUAAGUGGGAAACGAUGUGGGAAGGCCCAGACAGCCAGGAUGUUGGCUUAGAAGCAGCCAUCAUUUAAAGAAAGCGUAAUAGCUCACUGGUCGAGUCGGCCUGCGCGGAAGAUGUAACGGGGCUAAACCAUGCACCGAAGCUGCGGCAGCGACGCUGAUGCGUUGUUGGGUAGGGGAGCGUUCUGUAAGCCUGCGAAGGUGUGCUGUGAGGCAUGCUGGAGGUAUCAGAAGUGCGAAUGCUGACAUAAGUAACGAUAAAGCGGGUGAAAAGCCCGCUCGCCGGAAGACCAAGGGUUCCUGUCCAACGUUAAUCGGGGCAGGGUGAGUCGACCCCUAAGGCGAGGCCGAAAGGCGUAGUCGAUGGGAAACAGGUUAAUAUUCCUGUACUUGGUGUUACUGCGAAGGGGGGACGGAGAAGGCUAUGUUGGCCGGGCGACGGUUGUCCCGGUUUAAGCGUGUAGGCUGGUUUUCCAGGCAAAUCCGGAAAAUCAAGGCUGAGGCGUGAUGACGAGGCACUACGGUGCUGAAGCAACAAAUGCCCUGCUUCCAGGAAAAG
RNAcentral lists this ribosomal RNA (706 nucleotides) under Escherichia coli. RNAcentral describes it as "bacterial LSU rRNA". It matches the Rfam family "Bacterial large subunit ribosomal RNA", at positions 911 to 1617 of the family's 2925-position model. The record is from RNAcentral. Lineage: Bacteria; Pseudomonadati; Pseudomonadota; Gammaproteobacteria; Enterobacterales; Enterobacteriaceae.